AACAAUUCUUUAUCUUGUGAUAAAAAAAAGUCUUAGAAAUUAUGACUUCAAGUUCAUCCAGUACGGAGCAUGACCUGCUCCUCUUGACCUACAGUGGCUUUGCUUUGGUCUGUGCUAAGGCUAUCCCUAUCUUCCAUGAUCUGUAAGAAGGGUCUCUCCCAGCUGCACCCCAUUUCCCACAUGCUUCCUUUUCCCUAAAUCAGACACUCCUAACUACUCCAACUGCAAAAGUAGAAAAGCGGAAGAGCAGGAGCACUUUUGAGCCAGGGUAAAGUGCUUGGGAAAAGAGAUGUAAGUGCAGUGGGGGUUUAUAUAAUUAGCAAAUUCUUUUUCUUUAGAAGCCAACAUGAGUGUAUUUCAGUUAUUUACCAAUAGUGGCCUCAGAGGAGCUGUCUUUUGGAAAAUAAGUUUUCAUUCAUGUAGUUAGACAUGCACGAUUUGUUUGAGUCCUUAAACUGUGGACCGGUAAUGGGAUGCUUAACUGAAUACACAUUUUCUAGUUCUCUUUUGAUGCUGUUCUUGGUCUCCUAGAUUCAUACCUCAUGAUCUCUGUGGCUUUUGCUUCUGCUCUUCCCUGAAGCAAAUGAGAUUAUGGGAGGCCCAUCUUUGCAAGAAAGACUAUAAGCAAUGGCAACAGAUGGGAGUGAAUUACUACUGGCCCAGGAACCAUGACAGCAGAAGGCCCAUCUGGAGUGAACUUGGAGAGAGUUUGGAAAGAUAAAGCAAACCAAGAUGCUUAUUUUGUGAAAGAGAAGACUCCUCAGUAGCCAGCUAGCUAAAGAUGGUGCUGAUUCUCAAGUUGGAAGUUUCUCUCCCUAACCCUCCCCUGAGCUCCCUCAUCUUUUCUUUGGGUAGGCCUAUCUGCUGCAUAUUCCCAGGAAUCACUUUUUUGCACCGAGUGCUCUCUGAUGAGCCUCUCCUCCCUCCCAGGGGCAGCUUGGGGAAGGGGUGGCUGUUCAGUGGAAUGAGCCACCUGCACUUGUGAUUAUUCUGAGACCCAACUCAGAGGGGUGGGGAAGGCGCACAAACCCUAUUUCAAUAAACUGCCUGCAGAGCACCGCAGCCUGCUAAUAGUCAUUGAGGCCUCAGCCCCCUAAGGUCUCCAAGCUCAUUUGACCAGCGCAGCUGCGACUUCGGCUGUCUGCCUAUGGCAGGUGCCAAUAUCAGCAUCUUGUCCCACUGCCACAGGGAGUUUAUUUUUGCUCAAGGGCAGCUGCCAAGCCCAGCACCAGCAUCAAUAGAAGGUUUUCUCUGAUUUUCUUCUCUUCUUCACAGGCCAGAGACCACAUCCUCUUCCUCAGUCCUGACACCUCUCCCUACUCACCAGUCUUCCCUUGCAGAAAGCAUGACCCAUAGCAGGUAUUUUAAAAAUAGUGGUUGCAUAAAAAAUGUUAGGACAUAGAAGGGCUUCAUUCUGUCACACAGUGGUGAGAACCAGUCAUUUGCAUAGUUAUGCUGACAUUGAGCUGUUUUGACACUGAGUUUGUCCUCCUGAGAUAUUGAAGUUGACCUGGGAAAAGAGGUCCAAUUGUAGCAAUGUUAAGUCUGCCCAUCGUGUUCCCUACUAAGAGAUGAAAAGUUAGCUCUUGACCUUGGAGGAGCUGAGUGUCCUAGCAGCUCACCAUAUCUGGCAGACCAGUGAGUCUGCAGAGAUAUUAAUCUGCCUCAAGCAUUGGGUGCUAGCUAGAAAGCUGGACCACUCUACCAGUCCCAGACCACUCCCAGGGAUGACAUCCUGAGCAGCAAAGUCCAGUGUGUAUCAGUUCAGCACAUUUGUUGAUCAAGUUCUCUGGCUAGAUGAACCAUCAUUUGUAACUGAAGCUUUCCCCAUACAUAUCUUAAGAUAAUUCUAAAAAAUCUUGGGCUCACCCCCCAUCUUUUCCAAAUUGGCAGAAUCCAUCAGUUUGACAUUCUCUUUAUAAUAGUUCACGAACCUGUUUUCCAGAUCAUUCUCCAGAGGUCAGUCCCAGUUCCCAUGGGUAAAACAGCAGAGCCAGCUCACCUGUGAGGGAGAAUGCAGCUCCACCACCCGGCCUGCACCAGAUGCCCAGGAGCUGCAUAGGCACACCAGUGGGACUGUGACAGCUGUUAGGGCCCAGCCACAGUAUAGGUGGAAAUGGGGGACACCAGAGCUGCUUUAGCCAAGGAGAGCAGAUAGCAAGGCUCAUUUAAAGAGCAAAACUCUGUGCACAAGGACCACUGAUGCCCACCAGACGUCACAGAAAUUCUAAGACGAGAGUAAUGUGGGAUGAAGAAUUAGGAAAUCCAAUGGGUGCAUUGGAAAUCCAGGGUGUUUAGAAGUCAAAAAGGUCAGUCACUAGAGGUCAGGCCAGGGUGACUGUUGCAGGAACAGGUGAAGGUACUCUGGGCUUUCUAGCAUACUGUCACAUAAGGCACCGUCAAUAAAAUUCGCUCUUUCUUUUUUUUUUCCCCAUGAGAAAAUUUAUUUUAACCUUUUUUUAUUAGUACACAAUUUUGUACAGGGGGUUUUGUUGUGACAUUUCCAUGUAUGGGUAUAAUGUACCAGGAUUGGUUUCAUCUUCACCAUUAUUCUCCCUCAUUCCCCUCCCCGCUUCUUAAAAUGACUGACAGGUUUCACUGUUCCAUCUUCAUACACGAGAGAAAGGGCACCACCCAUACUCAGUCUACUCUCUUCACGUAUCCUUCCUGUCCCACUGGUACCCUCCCUCACCAUGACCUGUUUCACAUUCCUGUCCUUCAUUGCUUAAGUGUUUGCUCCUUGUUCAAAGAGGUUUGCCAUGGUAUUUUAUAAAAUUCGCUCUUUCUCCUCUCUCUCUGUCACAACUGCCACAGGGUAGUGUGAUCCAGCAUUAUCUGCCUGGCGUGCAAAGCAUGCUGGAUCUGGAAUUUGGGGUUUGAUUGUUUAGCUUUAGCUGAAGGCAUUUCUGCAAAGUGGGAAAAAAAAAAAAA
Castor canadensis (American beaver) is the source of this 2931-nucleotide non-coding RNA. The record is from RefSeq and is a predicted model, not a curated record. Lineage: Eukaryota; Metazoa; Chordata; Mammalia; Rodentia; Castoridae.